UACUAUCGAUAGUAUUGAUAGUUUUUUGUUUUUCAACUAUCGAUACCAUCGAUAGUAUCGAUACUAUCGAUAGUUUUUCAUCUUUUAACUAUCGAUACUAUCGAUAGUAUCGAUACUAUCGUUGCUUAUCAAUAGUAUCGCCAAAAAUGAGCUAUAGAUACUAUCGAUAGUAUCGAUACUAUCGAUUAAUUAUCGAUACUAUCGUUUUUUGGUAAACUAUCGAUAGUUCGAUCGAAAACUAUCGAUAUGGCGCUAUCGAUCGGCAACACUAAUUUGAUAACAUUAAAAAAAUAACUGUCAAAGUCAGACGAGUGUUGGUCGAGUCUACUGUGUUUGCGAGUGAGUGUUUUAGACAAGAAAUAUGCCCAGAUGCCCAGGAUUUAGAUUACAGGGUACACCAAAUUUGGUCAACUUUUAUCAUGGUAACUAAACCUACCAUCGACUUAUCUGGGUUUAAGGAUUACCAAACAAAAGAGGUCGCGACUUGAGUCCGACAAGUCGCGGGUCGGCAAGUCGUCUAACGUCGUCGUUGUUCCAAGAGGUAGAUAGAGGUCGAGGACGUGGACAUGGAAGAGGUGGGCGUGCACACAGAGGAAGCAAAGUUGACAAUGUAGAAGAUGCUAUAGCUGAAGUGAGGGCACAGAGAAAUUACAAAAAAACGUAUGUCUAAACUGCCAGUAGAUGUUCAACAGGAAUUUAUGGACAGAAAGCGGCAGGCGCAAUUAGAUCGCAUAUUAUUGCCUGAUGCGCCUCCACGAAAGCGCCGCACGCAACGUCCAUCGCCAGAACGCGGUGCAAUAGAAUUUAUUUCGACUUCCAAUGCACCUGCUGGCCAGGUAGUCUCCGUGUCUGUCGACUUCAUUAUUAUUGCCCCCGAAGCCACCGACGUCGCUGGCGGAGAAGUGGUCGGGACUACCGACGAAUUUUAUAUGGUACCGUCACCCGAACCUGCCGCAUCUGUUGUCGCUGCGCCUGCUCCCGUCGUUGCUGCACCCGCUGGUGACUACGACUCAGAUAUACUCAGUUUCAUGAGUAGUCACCCCUAAGAGGUUUUGUUAACACCUUAUAUAAAUAUGUAUUACGUAUUUAAUAUUGGUCUCUUAAUUCUGCACCUCCCGCGUUUAUCUGUAAAAAUACUAUAUAACCAAAGGUUGCCUGGAAGAAAUUGCUAUUUAGCAAUAAGGCCGCCUUUUGUCUCUAGUGUCUCGAUUUAUUUAUGUUUGUCAUUUUGUGCAAUCAAGUAUAUUGUAUUGUAAGACUCAUUUUAUAUUCUAAUAAAAAAUAUAUAAUUUUAAGGUCCGAAU
Molecule: unclassified non-coding RNA, 1304 nt
Filed under: Pectinophora gossypiella (pink bollworm)
Lineage: Eukaryota; Metazoa; Arthropoda; Insecta; Lepidoptera; Gelechiidae
Description: uncharacterized LOC126376898
Source: RNAcentral